Molecule: ribosomal RNA, 321 nt
Filed under: uncultured Chloroflexota bacterium
Lineage: Bacteria; Bacillati; Chloroflexota
Description: bacterial SSU rRNA
Rfam family: Bacterial small subunit ribosomal RNA
Source: RNAcentral
GAUGAACGCUGGCGGCGUGCUUAAUACAUGCAAGUCGAACGGAGGAUGUAGCAAUACAUUCUUAGUGGCGAACGGGUGAGUAACACGUGGGUGACCUGCCCGGAAGAUGGGGAUAACAGCUCGAAAGGGCUGCUAAUACCCGAUGAGAUCCCAGGGAUUAGAAAACUGGGAUGAAAGGCGAAAGCCGCUUCCGGAGGGGCCUGCGACCCAUCAGCUAGUUGGUAAGGUAAAAGCUUACCAAGGCGAAGACGGGUAGGGGACCUGAGAGGGUGACCCCCCACACUGGCACUGAAACACGGGCCAGACACCUACGGGUGGCAG